AAAAAGACAAACCCUGGGUUUCUAUGUCCAACUUUGACUGUCCGUCUUAUAUAAAUUUUUUUUAUAAUUCUAUUUUUGUUGUUGUUAGAUGAUAAAACAUGAUUAAUACUUUGUGCGUGACUUGUCUUUUUAAUUUUUUUCAAAUAAGACGGACGGUCAAAUGUUGGGCACGGAAAGUUUAUC
Molecule: microRNA precursor, 183 nt
Organism: Oryza rufipogon (brownbeard rice)
Lineage: Eukaryota; Viridiplantae; Streptophyta; Magnoliopsida; Poales; Poaceae
Rfam family: MIR812 microRNA precursor family
Source: Rfam